AACAGGAUUAGAUACCCUGGUAGUCCACGCCGUAAACGAUGAGUGCUAAGCGUUAGAGGGGUCACACCCUUUAGUGCUGCAGCUAACGCGAUAAGCACUCCGCCUGGGGAGUACGGCCGCAAGGCUGAAACUCAAAGGAAUUGACGGGGGCCCGCACAAGCGGUGGAGCAUGUGGUUUAAUUUGAAGCAACGCGAAGAACCUUACCAGGUCUUGACAUCCCCUGACAACCCAAGAGAUUGGGCGUUCCCCCUUCGGGGGGACAGGGUGACAGGUGGUGCAUGGUUGUCGUCAGCUCGUGUCGUGAGAUGUUGGGUUAAGUCCCGCAACGAGCGCAACCCUCGCCUCUAGUUGCCAGCAUUCGGUUGGGCACUCUAGAGGGACUGCCGGCGACAAGUCGGAGGAAGGUGGGGAUGACGUCAAAUCAUCAUGCCCCUUAUGACCUGGGCUACACACGUGCUACAAUGGGCGGUACAAAGGGCUGCGAACCCGCGAGGGGGAGCGAAUCCCAAAAAGCCGCUCUCAGUUCGGAUUGCAGGCUGCAACUCGCCUGCAUGAAGCCGGAAUCGCUAGUAAUCGCGGAUCAGCAUGCCGCGGUGAAUACGUUCCCGGGCCUUGUACACACCGCCCGUCACACCACGAGAGCUCGCAACACCCGAAGUCGGUGAGGUAACCCGCAAGGGAGCCAGCCGCCGAAGGUGGGGCAAGUGAUUGGGGUGAAGUCGUAACAAGGUAACC
RNAcentral lists this ribosomal RNA (736 nucleotides) under uncultured bacterium. RNAcentral's name for it is "bacterial SSU rRNA". It matches the Rfam family "Bacterial small subunit ribosomal RNA", at positions 771 to 1501 of the family's 1533-position model. The record is from RNAcentral.